This 700-nucleotide ribosomal RNA is filed under the name Escherichia coli. RNAcentral's name for it is "bacterial SSU rRNA". It matches the Rfam family "Bacterial small subunit ribosomal RNA", at positions 675 to 1374 of the family's 1533-position model. The record is from RNAcentral. Lineage: Bacteria; Pseudomonadati; Pseudomonadota; Gammaproteobacteria; Enterobacterales; Enterobacteriaceae.
GUAGCGGUGAAAUGCGUAGAGAUCUGGAGGAAUACCGGUGGCGAAGGCGGCCCCCUGGACGAAGACUGACGCUCAGGUGCGAAAGCGUGGGGAGCAAACAGGAUUAGAUACCCCUGGUAGUCCACGCCGUAAACGAUGUCGACUUGGAGGUUGUGCCCUUGAGGCGUGGCUUCCGGAGCUAACGCGUUAAGUCGACCGCCUGGGGAGUACGGCCGCAAGGUUAAAACUCAAAUGAAUUGACGGGGGCCCGCACAAGCGGUGGAGCAUGUGGUUUAAUUCGAUGCAACGCGAAGAACCUUACCUGGUCUUGACAUCCACGGAAGUUUUCAGAGAUGAGAAUGUGCCUUCGGGAACCGUGAGACAGGUGCUGCAUGGCUGUCGUCAGCUCGUGUUGUGAAAUGUUGGGUUAAGUCCCGCAACGAGCGCAACCCUUAUCCUUUGUUGCCAGCGGUCCGGGCGGGAACUCAAAGGAGACUGCCAGUGAUAAACUGGAGGAAGGUGGGGAUGACGUCAAGUCAUCAUGGCCCUUACGACCAGGGCUACACACUUGCUACAAUGGCGCAUACAAAGAGAAGCGACCUCGCGAGAGCAAGCGGACCUCAUAAAGUGCGUCGUAGUCCGGAUUGGAGUCUGCAACUCGACUCCAUGAAGUCGGAAUCGCUAGUAAUCGUGGAUCAGAAUGCCACGGUGAAUACGUUCC